RNAcentral lists this transfer RNA (72 nucleotides) under Camelus ferus (Wild Bactrian camel). It matches the Rfam family "tRNA". Rfam says of the family: Transfer RNA (tRNA) molecules are approximately 80 nucleotides in length. Their secondary structure includes four short double-helical elements and three loops (D, anti-codon, and T loops). The record is from Rfam by way of RNAcentral. Lineage: Eukaryota; Metazoa; Chordata; Mammalia; Artiodactyla; Camelidae.
GAGGAUAUAGCUCAAUGGUAGAGCACAUGCUUAGCAAGCACAGGGUCCUGAGUUCAAUUCCCAGUACUUACG